RNAcentral lists this ribosomal RNA (305 nucleotides) under uncultured bacterium. RNAcentral describes it as "bacterial SSU rRNA". It matches the Rfam family "Bacterial small subunit ribosomal RNA", at positions 333 to 655 of the family's 1533-position model. The record is from RNAcentral.
UGUGUCCUACGGGGGGCAGCAGUGGGGGAUAUUGCACAAUGGGGGAAACCCUGAUGCAGCGACACCGCGUGGGUGAAGAAGCGCUUCGGCGUGUAAAGCCCUAUCAGUGGGGAAGAAAAAGGACGGUACCCAAAGAAGAAGCAUCGGCUAACUCCGUGCCAGCAGCCGCGGUAAUACGGAGGAUGCGAGCGUUAUCCGGAUUUAUUGGGUUUAAAGGGUGCGCAGGCGGUCUGUUAAGUCAGCGGUCAAAGCCCGGGGCUCGACCCCGGCCCGCCGUUGAAACUGGCAGUCUCGAGUUGGAGGGG